GCAUGCGCGGCUACACAUGCAGUCGAACGGUAGCACAGAGAGCUUGCUCUUGGGUGACGAGUGGCGGACGGGUGAGUAAUGUCUGGGAAACUGCCCGAUGGAGGGGGAUAACUACUGGAAACGGUAGCUAAUACCGCAUAACGUCGCAAGACCAAAGUGGGGGACCUUCGGGCCUCACACCAUCGGAUGUGCCCAGAUGGGAUUAGCUAGUUGGUGAGGUAAUGGCUCACCAAGGCGACGAUCCCUAGCUGGUCUGAGAGGAUGACCAGCCACACUGGAACUGAGACACGGUCCAGACUCCUACGGGAGGCAGCAGUGGGGAAUAUUGCACAAUGGGCGCAAGCCUGAUGCAGCCAUGCCGCGUGUAUGAAGAAGGCCUUCGGGUUGUAAAGUACUUUCAGCGAGGAGGAAGGCAUUUUUGUUAAUAACCUUAGUGAUUGACGUUACGCGGGGGAAGAAGCACCGGCUAACUCCGUGCCAGCUGCCGCGGUAAUACGGAGGGUGCUAUCGC
RNAcentral lists this ribosomal RNA (511 nucleotides) under Kluyvera ascorbata. RNAcentral's name for it is "bacterial SSU rRNA". It matches the Rfam family "Bacterial small subunit ribosomal RNA", at positions 42 to 540 of the family's 1533-position model. The record is from RNAcentral. Lineage: Bacteria; Pseudomonadati; Pseudomonadota; Gammaproteobacteria; Enterobacterales; Enterobacteriaceae.